RNAcentral lists this ribosomal RNA (254 nucleotides) under uncultured bacterium. RNAcentral describes it as "partial 16S ribosomal RNA". It matches the Rfam family "Bacterial small subunit ribosomal RNA", at positions 524 to 776 of the family's 1533-position model. The record is from RNAcentral.
UACGGGGGGAGCAAGCGUUGUUCGGAUUUACUGGGCGUAAAGGGCGCGUAGGCGGUCAGCACAAGUCAGUUGUGAAAUCUCCGGGCUUAACUCGGAAAGGUCAACUGAUACUGUGCGACUAGAGUGCGGAAGGGGCAACUGGAAUUCUCGGUGUAGCGGUGAAAUGCGUAGAUAUCAGGAGGAACACCAAUGGCGAAGGCAGCUCGCUGGGACGGUACUGACGCUGAGACGCGAAAGCGUGGGGAGCAAACAGG